UACGAAGGGGGCUAGCGUUGUUCGGAAUUACUGGGCGUAAAGCGCACGCAGGCGGAUUGAUAAGUCGGGGGUGAAAUCCCGGGGCUCAACCUCGGAAUUGCCUUCGAUACUGUCAGUCUUGAGUCCGGGAGAGGUGAGUGGAAUUCCUAGUGUAGAGGUGAAAUUCGUAGAUAUUAGGAAGAACACCAGUGGCGAAGGCGGCUCACUGGCCCGGUACUGACGCUCAUGUGCGAAAGCGUGGGGAGCAAACAGG
Molecule: ribosomal RNA, 253 nt
Filed under: uncultured bacterium
Lineage: Bacteria
Description: partial 16S ribosomal RNA
Rfam family: Bacterial small subunit ribosomal RNA
Source: RNAcentral